RNAcentral lists this long non-coding RNA (811 nucleotides) under Vitis vinifera (wine grape). Its description in RNAcentral is "long non-coding RNA (VVIN_LNC005884)". The record is from RNAcentral. Lineage: Eukaryota; Viridiplantae; Streptophyta; Magnoliopsida; Vitales; Vitaceae.
UCUCAUUUAUUCUUGGUUUCUCUCCCUCCAACAAACUUCUGCAACCCAAACGAAGCCGAAAGAUCUACACCAUGGGAACAACAGUAUAUAUCAGCAGAAAGACACAACAAAGAAAAUAACAGAAGAUGAAACUAAGAAGUAUUUUCAUUCAUAAGCUGAGAUCAAAAGAUAUCAUGGAACACCUUCCCAGAUUAAUUAUGCAAUGAUACAUGACCAUCUCCAACCCCCACAUAAUUCAUUUAUUUACAUACUUCAUGUCAUAGUGGAAGACGAAGAAGAAGAAGAAGAGACCUCUUGUGAGGAUUACUUAAUUAGCUAGCUAGCCAGCAGACAUGGAAAUCAAACAGCAGCUCCAACAUUCUUCAGACCAACUUAUAAAAGCAAGAGAGAAAUGAGAAUGCACUUAUAGUAUCAUUAAGCAUGCAAAUAGAUAUUUAUAUAUAUGAAGAUGACUGACUGUGGGUGGAGUUGGUGAGAAAAUAAUGAAUGAAACUCUGCGUCCCCAUCUUCAAUUGUUUGUACAACAGGGCCAGUAUCCUCCUCUUGAUGCCUCCCCUAACCGGAACUAUGGCCCUAUGGUCGCCGGUCGCAGCUGCGGCCAGCCCAAUUCGCAGCACCGUCAUCGGUGUCUUCUCAACCUCCAUCAUCAUGAUCUUCUUCAUCAUGAUAUAUGUAUAUGUCACUCCACCGUCCACACCAACCAACCUUCUAGUUCUAACAGAGAGUUACUUUGCAUGAGAAAAUGUUGUUUUAUGGAGAGUAUUUAUAUAUACAUGGGGGGGAUGGGAAUGGGUGAGAGAAGGAACCUUCG